GAGGGUAUAGCUCAGUGGUAGAGCAUGCCUAGCAUGCACGAGGUCCUGGGUUCAAUCCCCAAUAACUCCA
This 70-nucleotide transfer RNA is filed under the name Camelus bactrianus (Bactrian camel). It matches the Rfam family "tRNA". Rfam says of the family: Transfer RNA (tRNA) molecules are approximately 80 nucleotides in length. Their secondary structure includes four short double-helical elements and three loops (D, anti-codon, and T loops). Further hydrogen bonds mediate the characteristic L-shaped molecular structure. tRNAs have two regions of fundamental functional importance: the anti-codon, which is responsible for specific mRNA codon recognition, and the 3' end, to which the tRNAs corresponding amino acid is attached (by aminoacyl-tRNA synthetases). tRNAs cope with the degeneracy of the genetic code in two manners: having more than one tRNA (with a specific anti-codon) for a particular amino acid; and 'wobble' base-pairing, i.e. permitting non-standard base-pairing at the 3rd anti-codon position. RNAcentral also lists the same sequence under 2 other names. Lineage: Eukaryota; Metazoa; Chordata; Mammalia; Artiodactyla; Camelidae. The record is from Rfam by way of RNAcentral.